This is a non-coding RNA of Camellia sinensis, 3198 nucleotides long. The record is from RefSeq and is a predicted model, not a curated record. NCBI's taxonomy places the organism in Eukaryota, Viridiplantae, Streptophyta, Magnoliopsida, Ericales, Theaceae.
CAACCUGCAGCCGCACAUUCCUUCACCCUCCCUCGCCACCUCUACAACUUCCCUAUCUGCCUCACUCCAGCACUCCUCCACUCCUCUCCACCUAUCUCGAUCAUCUCUACUUACCUCCGUCACUCCCCUACCAAUAUCCGCAAUUUCCCUACCUAGCUUUGCUACCCUCAAAUCAUUCCUACUCAACCCAACACCCUAGUUGACCUAAAACCUAACCACUAGAACUAUCCAAAACCCAAAAUUUACAAAGUGCACAAUUUGGAAUGGGUUUUGACAGAGGACUUCAUCACCAAUUGCCUGUUAUCUCUACAUCCUUGACUCUAGUGCCUAAAUUCAUGCUUUAUGCGAUCUCCAUUGAUGAGCUUCUUUGACACUUGCUUGAUUAGGGUACAUUGCUAAGACAUUGUAUGGUGAUGAUGAUGAAGAGGUUACUCCUCAAAAUAGCGGCACAGUGGAGGAGCCAAAAUGUUUAGGUCUUUACCCUGGAUCAAAUGAGAAGAUUCUCUUGAAGAAUGGUCCUUAUGGGUUCUAUGUUCAGCUUGGUGAGGACAGGAAGGGAUACUUGCCUAAAAGAGCCUCGGUUUCCCAAAUAAAAACAUGUAGACUAUAUUACCCUGGAAGAUGCUAUUGAGUUGCUGCGCUAUCCUGCGACAUUGCCAGUUGUAUUGAAGGUUGCAAAGUUUGGAUUUUCCAUUAGACAUCGACGCACAAUCGCGCCUGUGCCCAAGGCGCUUUACUACUUUUGAACUUAGCACGAGAUGUGCAUGGGGCAUGUCGUUGGUAGGACAAUUAUGAUAGAAAGUCUAUGAACCCAUAAACAGAACCAGAAAAAGUGAUGUGUGGCUCAGAUCUACUGUUUAUUUAGUGGGGUUUACACAUGAAUUAAUCUUAACCAUUAAUUAUGUUUUCUGGAAACUUUUCUGAGCAUUGCUUUCUGGGACAGUUGAAUUGCUGCAAUUAUGAGGAAUCAAUUCAACAAUUUCAUGAUUAUAGUGAUUGGCAAAUGAUAGACAUGUAUUUUUUAUUUUUUUGAGAAGUGUCAUAUAGCAUAUUAUAUAAUGAUAAAAGAAAGAGUACAUAAGCCCACAAACAAUACCAGGACUAAAAUGUUAGCUCCAGCCCACAUAGAGCUGUUAUUGAAGGGUGGCUCUCCAAGUCAAGAAGUAGGAGGGAAGAUGGCAGGUUGCAGCCAGCCCAAUAACUCUCAUUCCUUGACUUUGUUUCCCUCUCCCCGUGUAUAUAUAUAGAGACAGAGGAAGAGAAGAGAUAGGCAACACAGAGUGAAAAAGCUGUGUGUAAGAGAGUGAAUUCUAUAAAGAGUUGUGAGGUGUGAGUUGUAAUCUCCCUCCGGGAUAAUUUUAUAGUGAGAAAUAUCUCUCCGUGGACGUGGGCUAUUGCCGAACUACGUAAAUCUCGUGUCUCCUUUUUGUGUGUGUGAUUGAUUUCUGAGUGUCCCUAAUCCUAACAAGUGGUAUCAGAGCCUUGUUGGUCGAUUUUCGAAAUAACAGGGUAUGUUUUUCAGAAUUGCCGAGAAAUCAAGUUGCUUGAAAUUCACUUUUGAGCAUACCAGGAGGAAGCCCUCGAUUAGAGGAGUCCAAAACUGCAAAGUAAAGCCCCAAACGAGACUCCAUGCGCUCUUACGCACCACCUAAAUCUCUCGAGUGAAGCCUAGUCGCAAACACACGCAACACACGCCGUUGACAAAACCGGUGCGUCAUCCUAGUCUUAGGCACGCGCCUGACACGUGACAAAAGGAAGGAGAGUGUUCUGUGCGUAAUAGUGAUGUCAUCAACACGUGUCAUCACCAGGUCAUCGCUACGUCAUCGCCAUGUGUUUGACACGUUAGCGCCAUGUAUUCGUCGAAUCAGAGCCACGUGUCUGCCACAUAAGCACAUUAGUUGACUAGUCAACUUGUCGAGUUUACCUGACUAGACCCAACCCAGAGGCAGAGGGUUUAUUUGGUGCUACGCAGCUGCAGUACAUUCACAGAUCUGAACCGUCAACAUAUUUUGGCUAGAUCUGAGCCAUUUGAAGUCCGAUUUUGACGAUCCAAUAGUGGUUUCCAACUAUUUGGAGUAUUCUGGAAAGAUUUGUAUGGUCAGAUUUUUGAAUUAGAGUUUCUGUAAAAAGUAAGAAGAAGAUGGAAGAAUCUAUUUCAACUUCGGGAUCGAUGAUCAAAUUAAAUGCUUCCAAUUAUGGAAUCUGGAAGUCGCGGAUGGAAGACGUCCUAUACUAUAGAGACUUGUUUGACCCUAUAGCUCUAAAAAAGGUUAAACCGGAAGUAGAGAAGGAUGAAGACUGGAUAAAGAUGAACUAGAAGAUUGUCGGUCAGAUCAGACAGUGGAUAAACCAUAACGUGUUCUACCAUGUCGCCCAGGAGACAUAUGCAUAUGUCCUCUGAACAAUAUUAGAAGGAAUGUACCAGUUGAAGACCGCUUGGAAUAAAGGCUUGGUGAUGAGAAGGCUUGUAAAUCUGAAGUUGAAGAAUGGUGUGUCUGUCGCCAAGCAUACCAGUGAAUUCAAGAAUCUGGUGAAUCAACUUGCAACCGUCAAGAUGCCCUUAGACGAUGAAAUGUAAGCCGUAUUACUGCUCAGUUCUUUAUCGGACAGCUGGGAGACGGUGGUUUCUCUCAGCACCUUUGCACCAGAGGGGAAGCUGACCAUAGCAUGGUCACAGACGCCAUGUACAAUGAAAAGACAAGAAGAAAAGACAUAGGAGGUAAUCAACACCAUGCUUUUGUCACAGAAGAUAGAGGCAAAGACAGAGGUAGAGGAAGAGGCAGAGAAAGAAGCAAGAGUGAAGGCAGAUGGAAUAACGUGAGUAAAUCCAAAGGCAGUAAAAGUCAAGGUAACUCUAGCUUCACUUGCUUUCACUGUGGUCAGGAGGGUCACAUAAAGAGGAACUGCCCAAACCGAAAAGAUAAAGGCCAAAACAGUAAGUCAAAAGGAGAUGAAAACACGACAACCACAACAACUGAUGAAAUACUUCUUGCAAUUGGUGAAGAAGAGGAUUGCCUUCAAGUGGCUGGCCACAGAUGUACAGAGUAGGUGAUAGGUUACCCUAGUUUAUAGUUUAGAAACAAUUCUUAGGAUAUGUUUAGUGUAGUUUAUUGUAAGUUUAAAACUAAUAAUCAGAAAGCAGAAACUAAAAACACUCACCCCAAACUUCCAAAUAAUCAACAACAAAAAAAAAAAGAA